GCGACACUAGCUCAUUCGGAUAGAGCAGCUGCCUUCUAAGCAGCAGGUGGGCCGUUCGAACCGGCCGUGUCGCA
This 74-nucleotide transfer RNA is filed under the name Treponema sp. Its description in RNAcentral is "tRNA-Arg". It matches the Rfam family "tRNA". Rfam says of the family: Transfer RNA (tRNA) molecules are approximately 80 nucleotides in length. Their secondary structure includes four short double-helical elements and three loops (D, anti-codon, and T loops). The record is from RNAcentral. Lineage: Bacteria; Pseudomonadati; Spirochaetota; Spirochaetia; Treponematales; Treponemataceae.